RNAcentral lists this long non-coding RNA (331 nucleotides) under Vigna radiata. Its description in RNAcentral is "long non-coding RNA (VRAD_LNC008686)". Lineage: Eukaryota; Viridiplantae; Streptophyta; Magnoliopsida; Fabales; Fabaceae. The record is from RNAcentral.
GAAAGGCAAAAGAAAGACAUUGAGCUCAAGUGUUGAAUAAAAGAAAAAGCAUGAGAAAAGAAAAAGAAGAAANGAAAAAGCAUGAAAGAUGAGCUCAAUGAAAAAAAUAAAAGAAAAGGGAAGAAGGUGGGAAUGAGUANAAUUGGUUAAGAAGAGAGUUUCUACUUGAACUUUGAAUGCUAAAAUAGCUCUCUUAACUCAAGGAUUUUGUGCUCCAGAAAAACAAAUUUUUCUUAAUUAGCCCAGCCUCAUUAUAAACCUUGAAAAAGUCCUUGUGAUGGCAUUUGUAUGUGAGAAUCUUAAUUGUAUUAUAUGAAGGGGCAAUUUUGUU